AAAGCUAAGCUUGUUACGAAAAAUAUAAUGUAUAAUUGUUUCAAAUUUACGGUAUUAAAUUCAAGUCGUAUUAAUUAUCCGAAAGAUAUUGAAGAUAGGAUAUCAAAUGAUAUAAUAAUAUUAAAUAAUAAUAGUCUCGUGUAUGUCACCGUUGCCCACCGUAAUAAUCGAUCUGAUAAAUUACAGUAAUCGUUUCCAUCAUCGAAGACAGGGAACUUCACCAAGACGGCUGAUUGGUUCGGCGACGGUAUUAACUUGAACUUCUACAACUGAUUGCACGAUAGUACGAUAGAACCCAACGUAUAUUGGAACUGUGGGAGGAUUUGUGAAUUUUGGAUAGUAAUGAUCGCAUUUCCUGAAAUCGAUUAUUCCAGAAGAUAGUUGACAGGCAUCUGCUGCACAACUUUCAUGGAGUUUCAGCGUUGGCCAUUGCAGAAAAUCUAAUGUCCUUUGCUAUGCAAAACAUCUGUUUAACAGUCGCUAACUUUUCCUGUAAAUUACGAGCAAAGGGAGUCAAGUUUUAUAGACGUAGUAAUCAAAUCAGAACUUAAAAGCUGAUUAAUUCAACUCUAAAACUUUCUUUAUCCAAUUAUGACUAGUUUAAGCUAAGAAUGUUGGACUAAGUGCCACUAAUAUGUUAGUAUCAAACGAUCCAUACGGUGUCCGACAAAGAUGAUGUCUGCUAAGGAAAACUCAACUCCUUUUCAUUAUGGAGAGCGUAACGCAAACUUUUUUUCUCCGUUUACGGUCAUGUAACGAAAAAUGUUUUGAAAACAGUAAUGGAAAUAAUAAUAUUUCACUCUUUGAUACACAAAGAGAGAAAUACUACGGCAUGUAGAAUCAUAUAUUCGGGCACUCUAAUAAGUAAGGUAGAAUGUUGUAUUGCGAAAGGCGGUGUGCAAUUUGAACAAGUGUUAAAAUAAUGCACUUUUUGAAUUUGUCGUAAAAUCUCCCGCAAUUUUAUAUAAAAAAAAAAACAUAUGGACUAUUUAUGUUACUCAAGCAGUGCUUGGUUUCGCUAUGAAAAUAAAGCGUAUUCAGAAUCUUUUUAUCAUCGUUCGCAGUACACUCGACACACUUUUUUUAUUGCAUGGCCCCAAAUGGUAGAAAAAUUGUAAAUCGCGUUACGCGGAGCUGCCUGUAUUUCUUACAUAUAAUUAACUUAAAUGUAAAUUUACAGACUGUAUUUUGAUCAAAACAGAGUUUGAUUUAAUUUUUAGAAAGUUAUUCUGCUUUAAAGAGUGUUCGAAUAUAAAUGUGAUCGACCGUAUAUAAUCCGAUUAUUAAACCGAUAAAGAAUAUAUUGUAAGUUGGUAAACAAUUUAUGUCAAAUUUGCUUGCUUAAAUCAAAUUUGUUGAAUAUUUAUAACAUACUUAUAAACACGAAGUUUCUAAAAAUAUUCAUAACAUACUCGUAAACAGAAAACAAAAUUUAAACUGUCGUUAACAAUUUUUAUAUUCUAUUUAUUCUAAACAGAAACAGUCUAGUAAUCAGGUAGAAAUUGAUGUAACACGAUGUAUUUGUCUGUCAUUGGUGAGCAGAAAUACUAAUUUACAUAACCAACAGCAAGAACAACGUGUAUAUUAAAAUUAAUAUUGCGUUAAAGGUGAUGUUAAAUUUUGUAUGUAAGUGGAAUUUUGUAUACCAAAUGAAGAGAUAGAUGCGAGAUUCCUCGUGCAACGCGAUGUGAUUGGGGCUGCAGGUACAUGUUAUUGAGUAAUUAAAGCGUGUGUCACGAUAAUCUUACUAGCAAUGUUUCGAAUAUUCACGCACAGUAACAGUGACCAGAGGAAUAGGUGAGAAUGUGUUCUCGGAAAUCACUGAACUGCCUGACUAGGAGUCGGUGUUCGGGGUUAGUUGCCGGAGGUAGGUUCGCUGCUAGGAGUAGAUGGACCGGGGUAUGAGAGCGCGUGCCACUCUGAUUGUGGCGGCCAUACUGGGACACACGAGCCACAUACCGACGAUUCUUGGUUUCAUGCGGCGUGCCUAGACACCCUGAGAAUACUUAUGACUUGCUGAAGCGGUGCGGCUUGGCUUCCCGUCUAACUAAGGACGUCGUUUAAAAAACUGCUUACUUUUAUGUAAAAAGAUUACGUAUACGUAGCAAAGAAAAUGCAAGACAGGCAAUUUCCCAAACGAUGGAUUGAUCGCGGUGGAGAAUUUCUAUGGCCAUCACGCUCAUCGGAUCUAAAGCUGCUAGGCUUCUUUCCGUGGUAGACGUUAAAGAACAUAGUGUACCGAGGACAACACCGGAGAAUACGGAACAACGAAUUCAUGAAGUAUUACCGGUUCGUUAAUAAAUUGCAUCAUCUUUGUAGCAAUGUCAAUGGAUAAUGACAGCAAUGUGAAUGAAGACAACAGAGUGCGAUAAGAUGAAAAAUAUCGAGUAUAGUAGUAGGAAUAUUUGUCAUUUCUUCUGUGGAGUAAUUUCGACGAACGCCACGAGUAAAAGGCUCAGAUCGAAUAAUAUUAAUCAUCAACUUUUCGUGUGCCGAGAUGCGAGCACAAAGAAAUAUUUUCUAUGCGUGCAUUACAGCGGAAAAAUUCAAUUUCACUUUUAAAAAUUCAUCUCGAGACUUCUGUUCGAUGCCAGGUUUUUAAAAUCUGGUGCUGGUGCGCGGUUCGUGUGCAUUAAUUUGCGCAACAAAGAGCUUUUAUAACAUGUUGGGGUGAGUUUAAAGGUUGGAAGAGAUCGCAUGCAAAAAGCUUCCGUUCUUGUUACAUAAGCCGGUUUUAACUAACUUCUCGGUACACUAACUAUGCCCUAUGUAUAAAUUUCUGUUCAAUCAGAGAGGCGCACACUUCUUCACGUAGCAAACUUUCAUUUCAGAAAAUGUUUACAGGCGGUUAAAUAUAAAUUUAAAUACAAGAAAAUCUCGCAGAGCUUCAGCCUGAAUGAAAUUUGCACAGACAGAAAGCAGGACUCGCAGUUCCGUUUGCUCGAAAUUUUUAAUUUUCUUUGCGCUAACGAUUGCAGUGAAUUGCGUGAAAUUUACUAAAUAUAACUUGCCUACUUGGACACAUUUUAUCUUCUUUCGCGUAGAAAAGUCCUGAGUAUAUUUCUAUGUAGAAUUCUACAUAAAAUCAAAAUUCUUGCUCGUGUGAUAAGAAAUGCUGAAUAAAUAUUGAUCAAAGAAUCAUUUGUUCCAAGGUUACAGGCGAACGAGCAUUAUUCGCUUCUACCACAAAUGUUUCAAAUUGCUAUCGUAUAUUUCAAUACGAUACAACGUAUUCGAAUACUAUAAUAUGGGUUCCUUGGAGACCGCCGUAUACGUACAUUCGUAAAAUUCACCAUUGCAUUCUACUUCUCAACGGAGAAAGUUUUCCAUUUAUUACUUCAAUCUGUGUAUCGUGUACCGGUAAAUUGUAAAUCCGUAAAUGUACAGAUAAAUAAGUAGUCAUGUAAAUAUAAGCAAAAGUUUAUAAAUAAGUUUGAAAACUUACAAUGGAAACAAGGGAUUUCUUGGUUUAUGUCCGUAAAACAUAAACUUUACGUUUAGUCGAGUAAUUACGAUACUUGUGUUUAGAACGUUAUACAAUCUUUUCUGAGCAGUAUAUUUUCAACAAUGUAAUUUCUUCUGCUUGUAAUAAAUUAUAUACGGCUAUAUUGUUUUCCACUCCAAUACCCUGUUAACGUUGAAAUCGCCACGUUCCCGGAAUCGACAUUAUCGAAUUAACGGGAAGAUAAUUUAUAAAGAUUUAUAAGUUAUAAAUCGUUACAUGAAUUUACAAGAAGAGAAAUUGUUGCAAUCAUCGUCUUUUCUUAGUAAAG
Molecule: long non-coding RNA, 3773 nt
Organism: Bombus terrestris (buff-tailed bumblebee)
Lineage: Eukaryota; Metazoa; Arthropoda; Insecta; Hymenoptera; Apidae
Exons: 3
Source: RefSeq, a predicted model, not a curated record